This 483-nucleotide ribosomal RNA is filed under the name uncultured bacterium. RNAcentral's name for it is "partial 16S ribosomal RNA". It matches the Rfam family "Bacterial small subunit ribosomal RNA", at positions 28 to 507 of the family's 1533-position model. The record is from RNAcentral.
GACGAACGCUGGCGGCGUGCUUAACACAUGCAAGUCGAACGCUGAAGCUCAGCUUUUGUUGGGUGGACGAGUGGCGAACGGGUGAGUAACACGUGAGUAACCUGCCCCCUUCUUUGGGAUAACGCCCGGAAACGGGUGCUAAUACUGGAUAUUCACUGGUCUUCGCAUGGGGGUUGGUGGAAAGGGUUUUUCUGGUGGGGGAUGGGCUCGCGGCCUAUCAGCUUGUUGGUGGGGUGAUGGCCUACCAAGGCUUUGACGGGUAGCCGGCCUGAGAGGGUGACCGGUCACAUUGGGACUGAGAUACGGCCCAGACUCCUACGGGAGGCAGCAGUGGGGAAUAUUGCACAAUGGGCGCAAGCCUGAUGCAGCGACGCCGCGUGAGGGAUGGAGGCCUUCGGGUUGUGAACCUCUUUCGCUCAUGGUCAAGCCGCAACAAUGGUUGUGGUGAGGGUAGUGGGUAAAGAAGCGCCGGCUAACUACGUG